This 24-nucleotide non-coding RNA is filed under the name Mus musculus (house mouse). Lineage: Eukaryota; Metazoa; Chordata; Mammalia; Rodentia; Muridae. The record is from RNAcentral.
UGCCAUGUCGCUGGCUGGGGCUCC